RNAcentral lists this ribosomal RNA (943 nucleotides) under uncultured bacterium. RNAcentral describes it as "bacterial SSU rRNA". It matches the Rfam family "Bacterial small subunit ribosomal RNA", at positions 8 to 988 of the family's 1533-position model. The record is from RNAcentral.
AGAGUUUGAUCAUGGCUCAGAACGAACGCUGGCGGCAUGCCUAACACAUGCAAGUCGAACGCUUGCCGGGCUUCGGUUCGGCAGGAGUGGCGCACGGGUGAGUAGCGCGUGGGAACCUGCCCUGUUGUGGGGGAUAACCGAGGGAAACUUCGGCUAAUACCGCAUGCGCCCGGGGAAACCCGGGGAAAGAUUUAUCGCAGCAGGAGGGGCCCGCGUCGGAUUAGCUAGUUGGUGGGGUAACGGCCCACCAAGGCUUUGAUCCGUAGCUGGUCUGAGAGGAUGAUCAGCCACACUGGGACUGAGACACGGCCCAGACUCCUACGGGAGGCAGCAGUGGGGAAUAUUGGACAAUGGGCGCAAGCCUGAUCCAGCAAUGCCGCGUGAGUGAUGAAGGCCUUAGGGUUGUAAAGCUCUUUCGCCCGCGACGAUGAUGACGGUAGCGGGAGAAGAAGCCCCGGCUAACUUCGUGCCAGCAGCCGCGGUAAUACGAAGGGGGCGAGCGUUGUUCGGAUUUACUGGGCGUAAAGGGCGCGUAGGCGGCCCUCCUAGUCGCGUGUGAAAGCCCCGGGCUCAACCUGGGAAUUGCGCGCGAAACGGGGGGGCUUGAGUUCGGGAGAGGAGCGUGGAAUUCCCAGUGUAGAGGUGAAAUUCGUAGAUAUUGGGAAGAACACCGGUGGCGAAAGCGGCGCUCUGGACCGAGACUGACGCUGAGCGCGAAAGCGUGGGGAGCAAACAGGAUUAGAUACCCUGGUAGUCACGCCGUAAACGAUGUGUGCUAGACGUUGGGGAGCCUAGCUCUUCGGUGUCGCCGCAAACGCUUAAGCACACCGCUGGGGAGUACGGCGCAAGGUAAAACUCAAAGGAAUUGACGGGGCCCGCACAAGCGGUGGAGCAUGUGGUUUAAUUCGACGCAACGCGAAGAACCUUACCAGCUCUUGACAUG